GCGAUAGUAGGCGGCGGACAGGUGCCCGGCGUCUAUCGCGCGCUGAUACCACUGCAUCGCCUGUUCAUAAUCCGGUUCGCCGCUC
This 85-nucleotide transfer RNA is filed under the name Rahnella aquatilis. Its description in RNAcentral is "tRNA-Asp". The record is from RNAcentral. Lineage: Bacteria; Pseudomonadati; Pseudomonadota; Gammaproteobacteria; Enterobacterales; Yersiniaceae.